Aquila chrysaetos chrysaetos is the source of this 406-nucleotide long non-coding RNA. RefSeq lists it as uncharacterized. NCBI's taxonomy places the organism in Eukaryota, Metazoa, Chordata, Aves, Accipitriformes, Accipitridae. The transcript has 2 exons. The record is from RefSeq and is a predicted model, not a curated record.
CUUUUUUUUUUUUUUAUUAUUUUCCCCUGGUCCUGGUCGCUCCGUGAGGUGAUGUUCAUCGCCAGUGUUUGGACAGGGGUCAGGCUCGGGCUGGGGUUUUGGCAGGCAGGGCGAUUUUUUUCAAGGCUUCUGGGAGUGGCGUUCCCAUGGAGCGCUCCCCUGGAAUGUGGUAUGGAAGUGGACAGUGUGUGAAGAUGAGCGGAGCUCACUCAUUUUCUGCUUGGGCACAGGGAUCGUGGAGGUAAUGUCACCUGGGGGACUAAAACUUCUACAUGUGCAGCGAGGGACGUAAUGGCAGUGAGGAAUGUGGAAAAGACUGAUAUGUUGGAAAAUGCUCUGUAAAACUUGGAAAAUGCUCUGUAAACUUUGAAAUUAAAUAAAAUAUGAAAUAAAAAGUAGUAGAAUA